Molecule: long non-coding RNA, 544 nt
Organism: Canis lupus familiaris (dog)
Lineage: Eukaryota; Metazoa; Chordata; Mammalia; Carnivora; Canidae
Exons: 3
Source: RefSeq, a predicted model, not a curated record
CCCACCAUGACUUUCCACAUAGCAAACUUAUUACCUCUCUCUGUGAGGAACGGAGAAUGUCAUGAAUGUCAUGACAGCGAGGGUGAUCUCUGAAACUCAUUGUGAGCGUGGAGCUCAAUGGCUGUUAUCAGAGAUAACAAUAGCUGGCAUUAUUCAUAUGGGCUUUACAGGCUGAAAAACAUACUCAGCAACACAUCUCAUUGGAUUCUCACUCUUGAUGAGAGGCAGAGGUUGAGCCAGCAUCAGGAUGUGGACCAGCUGCUCCCCGUAAGAACAGGCUGACUUCAGGAAAAGACAUUCCUUGAUCAGCUAUCUGAUCAAGCCACCCAGUCAUCUCACUUUCUGGACCUACAUGAUGUCUGUAAUAUGAAAUGCAGAUUCUGAAAGAGAAGACAGUGCCUGGAGUCUGGUCUAUCCUAAGACAACUGUCCUGAAUACUCCUGGGGCCAAUUAAGACAGAGGAGGUCAAGGCUGUAUCUGUGGGAAGUGACGUCUCUCUCAAGUCCAUUGACGCAGUUUUAUGAAUUAGAGUUAGCACCCUGAC